Molecule: ribosomal RNA, 563 nt
Filed under: uncultured Glomeromycotina
Lineage: Eukaryota; Fungi; Glomeromycota
Description: SSU rRNA
Rfam family: Eukaryotic small subunit ribosomal RNA
Source: RNAcentral
UUGGAGGGCAAGUCUGGUGCCAGCAGCCGCGGUAAUUCCAGCUCCAAUAGCGUAUAUUAAAGUUGCUGCAGUUAAAAAGCUCGUAGUUGAAUUUCGGAACCAAUAUGCUGGUUGUGCCUCGGUACGUACUGGCAUUGUUGGUUUCUCCCUUCUGACGAACUAUGAUGUCAUUAAUUUGGUGUCAUGGGGAAUCAGGACUGUUACUUUGAAAAAAUUAGAGUGUUUAAAGCAGGCUCACGCUUGAAUACAUUAGCAUGGAAUAAUGAAAUAGGACGUUUGAUUCUAUUUUGUUGGUUUCUAGGAUUGACGUAAUGAUUAAUAGGGAUAGUUGGGGGCAUUAGUAUUCAAUUGUCAGAGGUGAAAUUCUUGGAUUUAUUGAAGACUAACUACUGCGAAAGCAUUUGCCAAGGAUGUUUUCAUUAAUCAAGAACGAAAGUUAGGGGAUCGAAGACGAUCAGAUAUCAUCGUAGUCUUAACCAUAGACUAUGCCGACUAGGGAUCGGAUGAUGUUAAUCUUUAAUGACUCAUUCGGCGCCUUACGGGAAACCAAAGUGUUUGGGUUC